UGAGGUAGUAGGUUGUAUAGUUUUAGGGUCACACCCACCACUGGGAGAUAACUAUACAAUCUACUGUCUUACC
This 73-nucleotide microRNA precursor is filed under the name Homo sapiens (human). Its description in RNAcentral is "RNA (73-mer) from Homo sapiens (PDB 5ZAL, chain C)". It matches the Rfam family "let-7 microRNA precursor family", at positions 7 to 78 of the family's 84-position model. From Rfam's summary of the family: This family represents the microRNAs (miRNA) let-7 and mir-98. let-7 was identified from a study of developmental timing in C. elegans, and was later shown to be part of a much larger class of non-coding RNAs termed miRNAs. The extents of the hairpin precursors are not generally known and are estimated based on hairpin prediction. Lineage: Eukaryota; Metazoa; Chordata; Mammalia; Primates; Hominidae. The record is from Rfam by way of RNAcentral.